AGAGAGGGAGGAAGGAUAGAAAGAAAAGAGGGAGAAGGAGAGAGAAGGGAAGAAGAAAGAACAAGAUCCCAGUGCCUUGCAUUUGUGUCAGGGAACAAGGGCACAGGACUUGGUAUGCAGCUAUCAGACAAAUGCCUUCAGGACCUAAGCAGUGACCCACAGGAGCAGGCCACACAUGCUAUCACCUCCGACUGUCAGAGUUACCAUUCUGAGAUCCACCCUUUAUCCCAGCAGCCCCGUUCUUUCCAUCUCUCACAGGUCCUCCUAUCCUGUGAGCCAGGCUCUGCUCUUUCACUUACAGACUGAGAGAAGGAAACACAGAGUCAACAGCAGAGCCAAGUGCCAGCCUCAGACCAGCUGCCCUCGCUCCUGCCCCUCCCUACCUCCGAUCUGUGCUCCAAGUCAGUUAACUGACUGUUCAUUAAAAUUACCUGUUACCUGGAGGCCUUUAAAAAUGAUAUAACUAGGGCUAGAGAGAUGGCUCAGCCGUUAAGGGCACUCGGCACUCUUCCAAAGAAUACAAGUUUGGUUCCUAGCACCCAUAUGAUAGCUUACAACUACCCAAAAUCCAGUUCUAGGUGAUCCAACCUGGCACAUGUGAGAUAUAAAUAUAUUCACACACAUAAAAUAAAGUAAUAAAAUAAUAUUACACACACACACACACACAAUCUUAGUUGGGUAUGUGAGUACACAGCUUAAUCCCAGUGCUCGGGAGACAGAGGCAAAUAAAUCUCUAUGAUUCUGAAGAUUGGUAUAUACAGUGAAUAUAUCAGCAGGGCUAUGUAGUGAAUAUACCAUAGCCAGGGCUAUAUAGUCAUACCCUGCCUCAAUAAUAAAUAAUAACAAUAGUAAUAAUGAUGGUAAUAUAACUUGGGAAGUAGAAGCAGAAGAAUCUAGACAAUUCUCAAGUCAUCCUGGGCUGUGUGCUAGAAUCCUAUCGCAAAAAAAUCGAUAAGAUAAUAAAUAAUAGUAACAAUAAUCAUAAUCACAAUAUAGCAAUAGCAGCAGCAAUAAUAAUAAUACAAAAAUAAAACUGAUCUUGGCCCAAGCUUCUGAUUCUAUUGUCUAAGAUGAGGUCUAUGUAUUGAUAUAUGUAAAAUUGAGCAUUAUUGCUGCAGGUUAUUUGUUCUUUUUUUUUUUCCAUGUAAUGUGUGUGUGUGUGCGUGCGUGCGCGCUUGUGCUUGUGCAUGACUUUGGGUGUCUUCCCCUGGUCUCUCACUGAACCAGAAGCUCACUGUUUUGCCUAGGUUGGGGUCAAUGAGCUCCAAGGAUUCACUUAUUUCUGCCUUUCAAUACUGGGAAUCAUAACUCUCAGCUUUUCUGUGGGGCUGGAGAUUCAAACCUAGCUCCUCAUGCUUGCAUACCCACAUUGUCGCCCUCUGAGCACCUCCUCAGCCCUCAGGUGCUUGGGUUUUACAGCAUUUGUCCCUACACCCGUGCUCUCAGCCUCUCACCUGUACUUCUGCUCUGCAGUGUGCCCGCAGACUGCACUGAUCAGUCCUUCAAGCUCCUUCUGAGAUGCUCGCUCUCCAUGUAGCCUUCUUGGAACCCCCAUCCUUCCUCUGAACCCCCAGCCUGUCUUUUCACACUCCCAGUUCCCACUUGUAUUGCUCACAGCUGUAUUUAAAAGUGGGUUGUGCAGGGAAGGAAGUUCCUCUGGGGGGUCAGUACCAUGUCUUUUUCUCUGUGUCCUUUGUGCCUGCCUCACGCGUGACACAGGGCUGGCCUUCAGUCAGCCUCACAAGGCAGAUGAAUGGAUGCAUUAUGCAUGGAUACAUGGGUGAAUGGAUGGAUAGAUGGUGCAUAGCAUACAGGAGCGGUGAAUGAAUGAUGGAUGCACACAUAGAUGAGUGAAUUGCCACCCUGAUAUUGCUGGAUAGAGUGGGAUUGUGCUAGUGAGACUUUCUGCCACUGUAAUAAACGAACAG
RNAcentral lists this long non-coding RNA (1928 nucleotides) under Mus musculus (house mouse). RNAcentral's name for it is "long non-coding RNA chr7:118624687-118626615". The record is from RNAcentral. Lineage: Eukaryota; Metazoa; Chordata; Mammalia; Rodentia; Muridae.